CUUCCUCCCCGAACUUCCCGUUUUCCGAGGGGCCCGGGGAGGGGUCCGAGGGGCGGCUGGGCAUUUCGAAACGCCCGGCGGCGCCCUCGGGGCCUGGGCCGCCGUCCGCGGCGCGGUCUCCAGAGCUGGCGGCCGAGCCCGGCCUCCCCGACGGUGGCCGCCCCAGGACGCCGCGAGGGAGGGGAGGCCGAGGCCGCGGCCGGACAAAUCUCGGCGAGGGCGGCGGGGGGAAAGCGCCGUGCAGCCCUGCGGUCCGUAACGUGCCAGGACACUGGGGUGAAGCCACCCCAACACCCGUGGGCAGGAAGCGGGCAGGAGAAAGGGAUGCGGGAUGGAACAGUGGCCGCGGGGAGUGACCAGCCUGCAGGCACCGGGCAGUGGAUGGGCUGCUCAGGACACGACACGCAACCCCACGCUGCCUGGGUCGUGGUCCCUUCGCAGAGCUAAGAGGAGAGGGGAAAAAGCACAAGGGCUGGUCAUUGGACAUGGUGGUCAACCUCUCUGACCCUCAGUUUCUUCUUCUGUACAAUGGGGCAAUCAGUAAUCCCUUUGGGAUGAGGAACCUGAGGUCUCAAGGGCACACCAGUGCACGACUGCCUAUGCACACGAUUGAGCUGUGGAACUGGGCGCCCUGAGCCUGGACAUCAGGAGAAAGCAGAGAGCGCUGAGAGCCGGGGCUUGCAGCCACCCUGCUGGCAGAGGCAGCCCUCCAGUGUCUGAGGAACCCAGCCUUCCAGCUGAAGACCCUGUACACCCUCAUUCAAAGGGAUCCUCUUGCAGGCUCCACCCCCACCGUCCCUUGUGACCUUCAGCCCCUGAUAUAGGGUCAGGUUCCCCAUGCCCCAGGGGCCCAGAGGUCAAGGUUGACCCUAGAGGAAACAGCUUAUUCUCCAACAGACAAAUGUUGCUAAUUUCUUUUUCUUUUUCUUUUUUUUAAUUUUGGUAUCAUUAAUCUACAAUUACAUGAACAACAUUAUGGUUACUAGACUCCCCCUAUUAUCAAGUCCCCACCAAAUACCCCAUUACAGUCACUGUCCAUCAGCAUAGUAAGAUGCUAUAGCGUCACUACUUGUCUUCUCUGUGUUACACUGCCUUCCCCGUGCCCCACCCCCUACAUCAUGUGUGCUGAUGGUAAUGCCCCUUAUUCCCCUUCUCCCUCCCCACCCAUCCUCCCCGGUCCCUUUUCCUUUGGUAACUGUUAGUCCAUUCUUGGGUUCUGUGAGUCUGCUGCUGUUUUGCACCUUCAGUUUUUGCUUUGUUCUUAUACUCCACAGAUGAGUGAAAUCAUUUGAUACUUGUCUUUCUCCACCUGGCUUAUUUCACUGAGCAUAAUACCCGUCUAGCUCCAUCCAUGUUGUUUCAAAUGGUAGGAUUUGCUUUCUUCUUAUGGCUGAAUAAUAUUCCAUUGUGUAUAUGUACCACAUCUUUAUUCAUUCAUCUACUGAUGGACACUUAGGUUGCUUCCAUUUCUUGGCUAUUGUAAAUAGUGCUGCGAUAAACAUAGGGGUGCAUAUGUCUUUUUCAAACUGGGCUGCUGCAUUCUUAGGGUAAAUUCCUAGGUCAAAUGGUAUUUCUAUUUUGAACUUUUUGAGGAACCUCCAUUUGCUUUCCACAAUGGUUGAACUAAUUUACAUUCCUGCCAGCAGUGUAGGAGGGUUCCCCUUUCUCCACAACCUCACCAACAUUUGUUGUUUGUCUUGGAUGGUGGCGAUCCUUACUGGUGUGAGGUGAUAUCUCACUGUGGUUUUAAUUUGCAUUUCUCUGAUGACUAGCGAUGUGGAGCAUCUUUUCAUGUGUCUGUUGGCCAUCUGAAUUUCUUCUUUGGAGAACUGUCCAGUUCCUCUGACCAUUUUUUUAUUGGAUUAUUUGCUUUUUGUUGAGGUGCAUGAGCUCUUUAUAUAUUUUGGAUGUCAACCUUUUAUCAGAUCUGUCAUUUAUGAAUAUAUUCUCCCAUACUGUAGGAUACCUUUUUGUUCUAUUGGUGGUGUCUUGUUCCCGAUCUUAGAGGAAAAGCUUUCAGCUUCUCGCUGUUAAGUAUGAUGUUGGCCGUGGGUUUGUUGUAUAUGGCCUUUAUUAUGUUGAGGUACUUGCCCUCUAUACCCAGUUUGUUGAGAGUUUUUAUCAUGAAUGGAUGUUGAAUUUUGUCAAAUGCUUUUUCAGCAUCUAUGGAAAUGAUCAUGUGGUUUUUGUCCUUCUUUUAUUUGAUGUGGUGGAUGAUGUUGAUGGAUUUUCGAAUGUUGUACCAUCCUUGCAUCCCUGGGAUGAAUCCCACUUGAUCAUGGUGUAUGAUCCUCUUGAUGUAAUUUUGAAUUCGGUUUGCUAAUAUUUUGUUGAGUAUUUUUGCUUCUAUGUUCAUCAGGGAUAUUGGUCUGUAAUUUUCUUUUUUGGUGGGGUCUUUGCCUGGUUUUGGCAUUAGAGUGAUGCUGGCUUCAUAGAAUGAGCUUGGAAGUAUUCCCUCCUCCUCUAUUUUUUUGGAAAACUUUAAGGAGAAUGGGUAUUAUGUCUUCUCUGUAUGUCUGAUAAAAUUCCGAGUUAAAUCCAUCUGACCCAGGGGUUUUGUUCUUGGGUAGUUUUUUUAUUACCGCUUCAAUUUCGUUGCUGGUAAUUGGUCUGUUUAGAUUUUCUGUUUCUUCCUUGGUCAGUCUUGGAAGGUUGUAUUUUUCUAGGAAGUUGUCCAUUUCUUCUAGGUUAUCCAGUUUGUUAGCAUAUAGAUUCUCAUAGUAUUCUCUCAUAAUUCUUUGUAUUUCUGUGGGGUCUGUUGUGAUUUUUCCUUUCUCAUUUCAAAUGUUGCUAAUUUCUGUCAGUAACAAUCAAGGAGCUCUGAGUAGAGAUGGGCCCUAGGGGUCUUGGGCUUACGAGGGUGGACUCCCUCAGAGAGUCCAGCUGAAAUGUGUCAGCUGCUGCAGCUGGCAGGGCCUUCAGCAGCUUGCUUGGUCUGUAGUCUGGCUGUAGUCUGAAGCUGCAACCCAUCAGUGAGGCAGACAUGCCACAACUUCCCUGACAUAACUGGAAGGAAGAAUCCAAAAGGAGUCAUUUACCAUGUGGCCAUUUACCCUGAAGACCUUUGAGAAAUAUAUAGGUGAUGUAGUGCCAUGGUCCCUUGACACUGUAGCUACCGUCUAUGGGCUGGCAUGAGGCUGUGAUGCUCCACUGAGUGGGUUCUUGAUCUCAGGGGGCUGCUGGCACCCUGAAUGGCAGAGGCUGAGCAGCAACCUUAAGCACUAGAGACAGGAUGGGCAAAUUACACAGAGAUGGAGCCUAUUCCAGAAAGUUCUGACCUUUGGUAAUUUCUGAUGGAGGCUAAUUGAUUGUGGCGUUCUUAGGAAUGAAGUAGUUGGGCAAUGUACUAAAGCAUCUCUUGAACUGUUUAACUGGAAAACUUGAGGUCUGGUGGACAGAAAUCUGACCAGAGUCCUCACAAGUCUAGAAUCUCUAGGUUUGAGAUAUGUUAUUUAAUAGAUUUUAAUAGAUCAGGAAAUGCAUAGAUUGGUCACUAUAUCACACAUUUGUUCGUUCAACUUGUUGACUGCUGUGUUCGAAUUACAAAGUUUCCUUUGUAAUUCCAUCAUAUUAUGCAUUUAAAAGCAUGAUUCUGAACAUGUGUCUGGAUCCAUCAAUGGAUAAACUGAAUGUAGUAUAUUCAUGCAGUGGGAUAUGGUUCCACCUUUAAAAUGUAGCUACAGCAUGGAUGCCCCUUGAGGACAUUAUGCUCAGCCCACCACUGAAGGACAAUCGCUGUCUGAUUGCACUUAUCGGAGGUAUCCAAAGCAGUCAGACUUAGAAACAAGUGGAAGGGUAGUUACCAGGGGGAGGGGAAAAGAGGGAAUUUAAUGGAUAUAGAGUUUUAGAUUUACAACAUGAAAAAAUCCUGGCCCACUGUUUCACAGUGGUGUGAAUGUACUUAUUACAACACUAUACAGUUAAAAUUGGUAAAGAUGGCACUUUUAUAUUAUGUGUUUUAACACAAUGUUAAAAACACAGAAUGCAAUAAAAACACAACUUAAAGACUUUAAAA
Long non-coding RNA from Manis pentadactyla (Chinese pangolin), 4015 nucleotides. RefSeq lists it as uncharacterized. The transcript is spliced from 3 exons. Lineage: Eukaryota; Metazoa; Chordata; Mammalia; Pholidota; Manidae. The record is from RefSeq and is a predicted model, not a curated record.